This is a long non-coding RNA of Anguilla rostrata (American eel), 575 nucleotides long. RefSeq lists it as uncharacterized. The record is from RefSeq and is a predicted model, not a curated record. NCBI's taxonomy places the organism in Eukaryota, Metazoa, Chordata, Actinopteri, Anguilliformes, Anguillidae. The transcript has 3 exons.
GAAAUAAGUGUGCAGACCUCAGCAUACAAGCUUUGGGUCUGGUGUGGAGAAGGAACACAGAGGAAGACCAGUCUUUCUGCGAUGGAGCCAGCAUUAGCUCCACAUACUCCUUCGAUUCACUAUGCGCAAUCAGCAGCAGGGGAGGAUGGGCCCUGGACGGAGGGAUCCAUCUUUGGCGUUUGACGCUCGCAACAGCGUGAUGGAGCGGAAACCCCUGCUUCAGAUGGCAUGACAAUGCCCUCAUGCACAAAGCAAGGUCCAUAAAGAAAUUAUUUGCUGAAUUUGGUGGGGAAGAACUUGACUGGCCUGCACAAAACCCUGAUCUCUACACCAUCAAAGACCUUUGGGAUGAAUUGGAAUGCCAACUGCAAGACAAGCCUUAUGCCCAACAUCAGUGCCCAGCCUCAAAAAUUCCCUUGUGGCUGAAUGGAAGUGAAUCCCCACAGUCAUGUUCCAAAAUUUUGUGAAAGCCUUCCCAGAAGAGUGGAGGCUGUUACAGCAGCAAAGAGGGUUCCAACUCCAUAUUAAUGCCAUGGUUUUGGAAUGAGAUGUGUACAUACGGGUGUGAUGUUCAG